UAAGAACGAUCAUCAUGGCCAAACAUUAAUUUAAAUUUUAUCAGACCAGAGCUCCUGUCUUUGUCCAUGAGUGCCUUUACUAACUGUAACCUGGCUUUUUAUGCUGCUUUUGCACUAAUAGCCUCUUCCUCUGAGUGAUCCAUGACUGAGUCGCUGGGUUAAGCCAGCAUCUUCACCAGAUCCUGUUGAGCUGCAGCUUUCAUUGAGGGCUCAGGGUUGAGUCAGUUGUUCUCCCCGCUGCACAUGCUAAGGUGCACAGGACAUAUCAAGGAGAGCCAAGGAUCAUACAGUGCGUUAGUGUUUUAGACACUAGGAAAUGUGCGCCAUAAUGACAGUGAGUGUAAAUGAACAGGGUGGGAGCUGGAGUCUGAGUAAUUCAGACCCUCCUACAGGGAGAUGAGCGUUACCUCGUCUGCCAGGUUAAUCUGGAUCCCUGCAGGUCAGACUGCGCUGUUUCAGAUGGAUGACGUCACAAAGGAUUGUUGUCGUCACCAGAUAGUUUGAUGACACACGGGGCUCAGGGCACGCGUCUGAGUUUGCUCUUAUCAGUUCAGGCCAGAAGUCCGUCACUAACGCACUGUAGCUGGCAGCGGUUUUGGCCUCCGAGCAAAUAUUCGCUUCACUUCAGCAGUUCACCCCGACUUUUUUCACCUUAACAGUUGAUUUUGCUUCAGGGUUGGUACACACUUUGCACUAAAAACCUGUUCCUCUCUGGAUGUGAAACCCAUCUCCUUGGCUGGAUGUCCCCACGCUGCCAUGUUUGAUUUAGCCUCUUCAGGCAUCUGGUAAAGAUACCGAGGGCUGACUCAGGCUAGGAGAAAUCCACAAGUCUCUUCUGUGAUAUCCUGGCUGACUUCUUCUGCACCGCAAAAAAGGAACUCAAAUGUGAGUUUUCCAUGAGGGCAGCAGUGAGUUUUAGGUGUCGCCUUAAAACAGAUCCACAGGAGUGUCUACAUUUAACUCAAAUAUAAUAAACAGACGGCUACUACCCACAACAUCAUUACCUGGGCUUCUCCUCAUUGUUUAAAGGAGUUUGAAUUGAACAAUAAAAGCAAAAACAUCCAAAAUGA
Molecule: long non-coding RNA, 1070 nt
Organism: Fundulus heteroclitus (mummichog)
Lineage: Eukaryota; Metazoa; Chordata; Actinopteri; Cyprinodontiformes; Fundulidae
Exons: 2
Source: RefSeq, a predicted model, not a curated record